GGGGCCGCCGCGGCGUCCGCGCCGCGCGGGCCGCGGCGGUCGUCUUGCGGCGGGGAGCGAGCUUCCUGCGGGAAGCCCUUCUGUGCGCCUCGCCCCCCGGGAGCCUGGGCCUUGGGCCCCGCGGCAGCGCCUUCCCCUCCCCGGAGCCCGGCUCAGAGCAGGGCCCCAGUUUGGGUUACAGUUCUGAGAAGUACAAAAAACCCUGCUCACCUAAAGAGCAGGACGGAUAGCCGGUCCCCUGUGGGGUGGUGAAAUGUUCUAGAACUAGACGGUGGCGCUGGUUGCCCAACAUUAUGAAUGUACCACUGAAUUGUACCUUUUAACAUGGUUUAAAUGGUGGGUUAUUUGUUGGGUGAACUUUUCCACCAAACAGAGCUAAAAACGCACAACUUAGGGCCUCCAGACACAUGAAAAUGUGGCACGCGCGAACAUCUAGAAACAAGGCAGUGGUCUUGGCAGAGAAAGAGCGCUGAGUGCUGCUGACCCCAUCUCUGCCUCUGUGUGUGUGACCCGAGGCCGGUCUGUUGCUCCACCUACCAAAGGAGACUAUUUCUCACUGAACACGGGUUCCGCUAAGUAUCCGACAAAGAGCAUCUUGUCUCGUCUCGUACUAGUGUUCACAGGUGGCAAGUGCUCACUGUAUUUCGGAAAAAAAGAAACGAGGACUCAGAGAGCUGGGAUUCUUUACCCCGUCACACAGCCCCAUGCAGCAGCCCACUCCGAGGGGGUCAUCUAGCAACGGGAACGGUUGUGGGAUGGGGCAAACCCACGAACAGGGGCGUCUGGGGAGCUCAGUGCUGGAGCCACUGCGUGCGGCUCGGGUCGUGCUCCCGGGGUCCUGGGAUCGAGCCCCGCAUGGGGCUCCCUGCCUCUCUGCUUGGUGGGGAGUCUGCUUCUCCCUCUCCCUCUGCCUACCACUCCACCUGCGUGUGCUCUCUUUCUCUCUGUCAAAUAAAUAAAUAAAUUCUUUAAAGCAAAAACCCGAAAAAGAGGCAGGCUUUGUUUUGUUUGUUUGUUUUUAAGAUUUAUUUAUUUAUUUAUUUGAGAGAGAGCACAAGCAGGGGGAGCAGCAGGCAGAGGGAGAAGCAGGCUCCCCGCCGAGCAGGGAGCCCGACGCCGGGCUCGAUCCCAGGACCCUGGGAUCAUGACCUGAGCCGAAGGCAGACGUUUCACCGACUGAGUCACCCAGGCGCCCCAAGAGGCAGGCUUUGAAGUGACGUGAUUUAAGUGCUCCACGCUUGGUCCAGAAAUGCUGGCAUCGUGCAUAAGCGUUACUUGGUCUGGAGUCCGAACUCCCCUUUCCAAAGUGCCACAUCCUUGGAUUCAACCGCUAGGCUGCCUUUCCUCUGACAGAACUCGGGCAGCGGCCGGGUUCCAUGAACUUCGAGGCUGAGUUUGCCACAAGCAAAUCCCCAGUCCAACCUACAGGCUCAGUGAAGUUUCAUUCAAAUCCCGUAACUAAGUGAGCUCCUCCCAGCGUCCGGGAGGCCAGGGCUGUCCUGGGAGCCCACCAGCAGCUGGGCAGGAAAUGGUUCUUGUUACAAAGAGGAGGUCAUCUGCAGCAGCGGCCCCUCCUCCACCCCCUUCCUCCAGGGUGAAAUCGGGAGGCUGUCCGCCUACCUUUGUGCCAUAGCUCCCAGAGAGUGGCACACCCCACUCUUCCAGGAUUGGGGACCAUGUGUCCCCGAGUCCAGAAGAGAUUUCCCUCGCAAAGUUCCUGCCUCCUGGGCAGGCAGCCACUUGCAGGCCUCGGCGCCUGCAGGGCUGGGCCGAUCUUAAAGUACCUGCCAGUGGUUUCAGCAGGAAGAUGCUCUUUGACUUUGCCAUUCCCGAGGAUUUUCACACACACAUUUUUUAAAACUUUGAUUCUGGUGACAGGCCUUUGAGGCAUGCAGAGUUGAGAACGGGAGAGGAAGCCCCAGCCCAGCCCAGACUGGGAAGUGGCCGACCCGCCCCCACUGACCAGCUCAGACCGGGUGACACCUCAGUCCUGGCUGGCUGGAAAGGGGUGACUCACUCUGGUCGUCAGGCAGCUCAGGGGAUUCCCACUCAGGUUCCUUCCUGCCAAAAAGAAAGCAAAACUCCCCCCAAGGAAGCCACAGUGGGAGGGCUUGGGGAGGGCCUGGGGCAGCCCCAAGCAGACCGGGGAGGGCCCACAUCAUGCUCCCACUGUUCCCUGAAGCCUGGGGUCUUGGAGGCAGCAGAGGGCCGCUGUCCUGGGCCUCAGUGCCCCCCAGAGAGAGGCAUGGGCCUGGCUGCACAUUGGGGUCCACGCUGCUGUGGACGCAGGAGAGCCCACCAGCUGCCCGCUGGGCCUGUGGACUCCUGCACCCGCUCUGCCCGAUGGCCCGAUGGCUCUCGAGGCAGGCAGUCUGCCCCCACCCCUUCUGUUCCCCCUUCCCAUGGCAUCCCCUGUGCCCCAGAUGCUUCUGAACGCUUGCUGCACCUCCUCUCCCAAUAGGGCAUGACCGCCCCCCCCUCAGAGGUCCUCACCUCUUGUCCUUUCCUCACUCAGGCCUUUGGGAAUACAGGCAGGAAGGCUGACCCAGCCCCCCACCCCCGGCAGCACCCCGGACACAGGAUGCCCCUCGUGUGCCCAGUUCUGUCCCCGGAGGAGGGACCCCUGCUUGGCAGGGCUUGCCCCGUGAGGAUGGGCUCCCUCACCCCACACACCCCGGCUCCUGCCCUAACAGCCCAGCCUUCUCCUCCGCUCAUUUCCCAGACAUGUGACGGUGAGCCCGGGGCUGCAGCUUCUGAAGGAAGCUGGUCUCGCUCUCACUGUGCAGUCAUCUGACGGUGCCUUUCCAGAAGGCCAGCCAGAAGGGGCUCCCCCCGCCCCCACAGAGUGCACAGCCACUGUGGCCCCUCCCCCAGGGCAACCCCCUCAAAAAGAAGAAACACACAGGGUGGUGAGGUGAGAAACAGAGUGCUGGGGCAGGCCCAUCCUGGGGGCGUCCCAGAAGGGCAGGGAGGAGGAAGCCAGGCCCCCGUCUUGAAGGGCCAGCCCCGAGCUGGCCCCCAGCAGUGUGAGCCCAUGGUGAGCGCUGCUGGUGGAGAAGACCGCGUGGCAGUGACCGACAUGUGCGGGAGCGUCCUCUGUGGGCAGAGGUGGACGGCUGUCUCCGUGCCCAUUCGUACUAUCUGUAGACUUGGAGAGACACAUGGAGAGUAAUAGGAGCGGAGAGGAGGGAAGAGGAGGGGCAUGCUCACUAUACAGCACCCCACCUGAUGAUCUUACUGCUUGGAAAACAGUUGUGUUUUAAGCAACAGAAGCUCACUUCGGAAGCUCUGGAAAACACAGAAGAGUACCACGAAGAAAGCAAAGAUCACCCCAAAUUCCCCCACCCAGAAGCAAACUCUUCAGAUUCCCUACUCCAUUUAACACCCACCUCCCUUCAGCCAGCCUCAGAACACAAUGCCAGACCAUACCCCAGAGCCAAAGGCCCAGGUGACAGCCUCACGUGCAGAAUUAAAAAUGCCCACGCUGGGGGCACCCGGCUGGCUCAGUCGGUAGAGCAUGCGACUCUUGAUCUCCGGGUUGUGAGUUUGAGACCCACGUUGGGCGUAGAGAUCACCUAAAAAAAAAAAUGCCCAGGCUGCCCUGGCCAUCCCUAGCCUCUGCUUCCCAGGCAGGCCUGGCCCCGGGGCCUUUGCGCCCGCCAGCCCUCACUGGGACCAGCUCCCUGCCUCUCCCAGGUACUUGGCACCUCCCUGGGCCCUCUGCAGGUCUCAAGGUCUCCAGAUAAAGAUGAGUCUCUCUGCUGGUGGCCUUGUGUUAAGAGGGUUCCCUGACCCCUCACCCCAUGUGGCUACAAUCAGGUUGUGAGUUUUUCUCCUCCCCCAGAUGUGGGUCCCCCGAAGUCAGUGGUCCCUCUGGCCUCAUUUGGGGUUCAGCUCCUGGCUUGUUCUUGUUGGACAGAUGAAGGCAUGAUCCGGUAACUAAUGGCUGCACAGAGUUGAGGUCCCAAGGGCCGCCUCUGGAACCAGACCCCACUGCCCCUCUCCUGGCCCUCCUCGGCCCUUCCCACACGAACCCAGCAUCCAGUCCGCGCUCGCCCUCUGCUGGCCUCCGCCGGAAAUGCCGGCCGGGCCCUGAAGGCAGCACGCACCAGCUCUCUGCAGGGACUUUGCUCUGACUGCCUCACUUCAAACCUGCAAACCGUGCGGUGGCUUUGCUCACACUCGGACCCGCCAAGCUAAUCGCCUGGCCAAGGUCCACAGCCCCGUGUCUGGGAGGCUCCAAGUGGCCCUCCGAGUGUCUCUCCUCCACCCUGCCAUGGCGGGCUCUCCUGGGUCCACCACUGCUGCCCUGUGCCAUGGGGCUCCCACCUGUUUGGCUUUAACCCUGGUCCAGGACCCCAGCAUCCUUCAGCCCAACUGGGACCUCCGACCCUGGUCCUACCACCUGUCCACCGUCCGUCCUAGCUUCCCCAGACCCCAGGCCACACCCAUCAGCCCCCCCCCCCCCUCCAGCCCCCUGGCCUCCCUUCUCUCCCAGUGACCAUCCGCGGAUGCCCUGCUCCUGGCUUGAUCUCGGGGGUCCUACUUCUGAAGCUGACCGGGGCUGAAGUGCCCAGUCCAGUCUCCCGUGCUCCCUCCUGGGGUGACAGCCCUGCUUUCUCCCGCACAGGGGCCUUUCCCGUCCUCACUGAUGGCUAGAUGGACGGAUCCUUCUAAGUCCAAACAGCACGAGGUAUAUUCAGGGACGACAGUGGCCAGAAAACAAAGCAGCAAAAAUGUUCUUUGUCUGACCUUCACAUACAGAAUUGUGCCAGCAAAAAAAAAAAAAAAGAAAGAAAGAAAAAAAAAAAGGAAAUACAUUCAAUAGAAAGUACAAAAAAGGAAAAAAUAAUGGAUUAAAAUUUUCUUUACUUUGUUGUAUUUUUUCAAAAACAAGGGAAUACUUGUACCCACAUGUAAGUUUUUCACAGUAGUGAGUAUUAUAGCCCAGUCUCUGUUUUUAAGGCUCAGUGUCUGCAAACUUGACGAUUUUGUCAUGAUCGAUCCUUUUCUCCUUGUCGUGAUCAGUACACAACCAGCCAUAUUUGCCCAUCUAUUUUUGCUCAUUGCUGGUAAAAGAACACUUUUUAUUGAUCUUAAUUUCGGUAAUUUCCUUUCACUUGCAGCCCCAGAUUAGGGAUGACUUUAAGCAGCAUACAUUUGGUAGGAGUCCCAAAAAUGCCACUUCCGCUACAUUCUAGAAAUUGUGAUUCGGUCCAUGUCUCAGUGUGACCAAAGCCAAUCCUCAUGGCUUCCAGACGUCUCAGCAGCUGGACAGUAACUCAAGCACUGUCACUGCACUGAUGUAGUCUCUUUUGGGUUUUUUUAUUCUUAUUUUUAUUUUUUUUUUAAGAUUUUUUGGGGGCGCCUGGGUGGCUCAGUCGUUAAGCGUUGGCCUUCGGCUCAGGUCAUGAUCCCAGGGUCGCUGUGUCUCUCUCUCUGUCAAAUAAAUAAAUAAAAUCUUUUAAAAAUGAGAGAGCAUGAGUGGGAGGGAAGGGCAGAGGGAGAGGGAGAAACAGACUCCCCGCUGAGCAGGGAGCCCGAUGCAGGACUCGAUCCCAGGACCCCGGGAUCAUGACCUGAGCCGAAGGCAGAUGUUCCACUGACUGAGCCACCCAGGCGCCCCUGAAAAGGAAUUUAAAAACAGAAACAAGAACAUUAGUCUCAGUGACGGACUCUAACAUCUUAGCGACAGGGGUUCCUGGGAGUGAAAGCCGACAAGAGAGGGCAAGACGUUAUCAAAGAAAUAGCACAAGAAAAUAUCCCCAAACUGAAGGGUGCUAUUUUCUAAACUUAGAGGGCCCAAAGUUCUGAGCAAAUGAUUGGGUUAGAAAGCCACAUCAUGAAAUUCUACCCCUAUUCAUAGGAGCUAAUGGGGGAAGCAGGCCCUGUCCAUGGAUGGACAGAUGAACAGAAUGCGGAAAGUCCAUGCGACGGAAUAGUAUUCACCCAUAAAAAGGAAGGAGGGUCUGGCACCUGCUGUAAAACCUAUGAGCCUUGAGGACACGCUGAGAGAGCCAGUUACAACAGGGCAGAUACUGUAGGAUUCCACUCACUGGAGGUCCCUAGAGGAGCUGAAAUCGCAGAAGAAGGCUUUAGAACGGUUUUCUCGUCUCCACGUGUGAAGGUGAACGGGUAACACCGGUACACUGCCCGCUGUCAACGACGCACAAAGAAUAUGGACGGCGUGCCAGGCCUCCUAGAGCUGGUUCUCUGUGACACCUGCUGCAGGUCCGCGCCCGAGGCUACUCGUCCCUGGGCACUGAGGAAACGGGAAGCACCCAGAGCCAGGAGAGGGUGUGCACAGCGCCCUUCCCCGAAUCGCAUAUGCUUGAGGCCCCACCAAACCCGCACCCACCCUUGCCCCCAACAUCUGUGCAGCACGUGACCACGACUGAAGCGACACCGAGCUUCAGGUCGCGCGCAGGGUGGCAAACGGAGCA
Long non-coding RNA from Mirounga angustirostris (Northern elephant seal), 6443 nucleotides. RefSeq lists it as uncharacterized. Lineage: Eukaryota; Metazoa; Chordata; Mammalia; Carnivora; Phocidae. The transcript has 3 exons. The record is from RefSeq and is a predicted model, not a curated record.